RNAcentral lists this ribosomal RNA (433 nucleotides) under uncultured Clostridium sp. RNAcentral's name for it is "partial 16S ribosomal RNA". It matches the Rfam family "Bacterial small subunit ribosomal RNA", at positions 341 to 792 of the family's 1533-position model. The record is from RNAcentral. Lineage: Bacteria; Bacillati; Bacillota; Clostridia; Eubacteriales; Clostridiaceae.
ACGGGAGGCGCAGUGGGGAAUAUUGCACAAUGGGCGAAAGCCUGAUGCAGCGACGCCGCGUGAGUGAAGAAGUAUCUCGGUAUGUAAAGCUCUAUCAGCAGGGAAGAUAAUGACGGUACCUGACUAAGAAGCCCCGGCUAACUACGUGCCAGCAGCCGCGGUAAUACGUAGGGGGCAAGCGUUAUCCGGAUUUACUGGGUGUAAAGGGAGCGUAGGCGGCGUUGCAAGUCAGAUGUGAAACCCCGGGGCUUAACUCCGGGACUGCAUUUGAAACUGUGAUGCUAGAGUGCGGGAGAGGCAAGCGGAAUUCCUAGUGUAGCGGUGAAAUGCGUAGAUAUUAGGAAGAACACCAGUGGCGAGGGCGGCUUACUGGACCGUAACUGACGCUGAGGCUCGAAAGCGUGGGGAGCAAACAGGAGUAGAUACCCUGGUA